Molecule: non-coding RNA, 83 nt
Filed under: Malacoplasma penetrans HF-2
Lineage: Bacteria; Bacillati; Mycoplasmatota; Mycoplasmoidales; Mycoplasmoidaceae
Source: Rfam by way of RNAcentral
GACGUCAUAACAUUAGAAGUGAAUCGUGUCAGGAUAGAAAUAUAGCAGCACUAAGCAAUAUCUUUUGUGUAUGGCGUCUUUUU